GGAUCUUUAGCUCAAAUGGUAGAGCACUUGGGAGUAUUAAUCUCAAGGGAUGAUGGUUCAAAUCCACCAAGGUCCA
This 76-nucleotide transfer RNA is filed under the name Thalictrum thalictroides. RNAcentral describes it as "tRNA-Asn". It matches the Rfam family "tRNA". From Rfam's summary of the family: Transfer RNA (tRNA) molecules are approximately 80 nucleotides in length. Their secondary structure includes four short double-helical elements and three loops (D, anti-codon, and T loops). Lineage: Eukaryota; Viridiplantae; Streptophyta; Magnoliopsida; Ranunculales; Ranunculaceae. The record is from RNAcentral.